GAUGAACGCUGGCGGCAUGCCUAAUACAUGCAAGUCGAGCGAACAGAUAAGGAGCUUGCUCCUUUGACGUUAGCGGCGGACGGGUGAUUAACACGUGUGUAACCUACCUAUAAGACUGUAAUAACUCCGGGAAACCGGGGCUAAUGCCGGAUAACAUUUAGAACCGCAUGGUUCUAAAGUGAAAGAUGUUUUUGCUAUCACUUAUAGAUGGUCCCGCGCCGUAUUAGCUAGUUGGUAAGGUAACGGCUUACCAAGGCAACGAUACGUAGCAGACCUGAGAGGGGGAUCGGCCACACUGGAACUGAGACACGGUCCAGACUCCUACGGGAGGCAGCAGUAGGGAAUCUUCCGCAAUGGGCGAAAGCCUGACGGAGCAACGCCGCGUGAGUGAUGAAGGUCUUCGGAUCGUAAAACUCUGUUAUUAGGGAAGAACAAAUGUGUAAGUAACUGUGCACGUCUUGACGGUACCUAAUCAGAAAGCCACGGCUAACUACGUG
This 497-nucleotide ribosomal RNA is filed under the name uncultured bacterium. Its description in RNAcentral is "partial 16S ribosomal RNA". It matches the Rfam family "Bacterial small subunit ribosomal RNA", at positions 28 to 507 of the family's 1533-position model. The record is from RNAcentral.